Molecule: ribosomal RNA, 483 nt
Filed under: Triticum aestivum (bread wheat)
Lineage: Eukaryota; Viridiplantae; Streptophyta; Magnoliopsida; Poales; Poaceae
Description: partial small subunit ribosomal RNA
Source: RNAcentral
AUGAAUGGAAGGCUUGAUUCUCCAUUGCACAUGGCCGCAUAUGUGUUGAACCCACACUAUAGUUAUGCGGAUAGCUCUAUCUUUACCAUAGCAAAUGAAGGCUUCCAGGAGUGUGCUGAACAAUACUUUGCAAAUGAUCCUGAUAAUUGCAUGUUGGCUGUCAAUUAUGCAUUUCUGAAAUAUGAAAACAAAGAAGGACCAUUUGGGAAGAAGCUAGGAACAGCUUGUGAAAAUAAGAGCUGCAGCCCAGGUAUUUCAGUAUUUGCUUGCUCCUGCUGCCCUUGCAUUGCUGCUGUUAGCUGCUGUUACUGCUCUAGCUGCUGCUCUUCCUCCUGUUGUAGCUGCUGCUGCUGCUUGCUUGCUGCUGCUAUAGCUGCUGCUGCUGCUGCUGCUGUAUAUGCUUGUCGCUGCUGCUGUAUAUGCUGCUGCUAUAGCUGCUGCUGCUCAGCUGCUGUAUAUGCUGCUGCUGCUAAAUGCUGCUGA